CCUACGGGAUGCAGCAGUGGGGAAUAUUGGACAAUGGGCGCAAGCCUGAUCCAGCCAUACCGCGUGUGUGAAGAAGGCCUUUUGGUUGUAAAGCACUUUAAGCGAGGAGGAGGCUACUUGGAUUAAUACUCUAGGAUAGUGGACGUUACUCGCAGAAUAAGCACCGGCUAACUCUGUGCCAGCAGCCGCGGUAAUACAGAGGGUGCGAGCGUUAAUCGGAUUUACUGGGCGUAAAGCGUGCGUAGGCGGCUUUUUAAGUCGGAUGUGAAAUCCCUGAGCUUAACUUAGGAAUUGCAUUCGAUACUGGGAAGCUAGAGUAUGGGAGAGGAUGGUAGAAUUCCAGGUGUAGCGGUGAAAUGCGUAGAGAUCUGGAGGAAUACCGAUGGCGAAGGCAGCCAUCUGGCCUAAUACUGACGCUGAGGUACGAAAGCAUGGGGAGCAAACAGGAUUAGAUACCCUUGUAGUC
This 466-nucleotide ribosomal RNA is filed under the name uncultured bacterium. Its description in RNAcentral is "bacterial SSU rRNA". It matches the Rfam family "Bacterial small subunit ribosomal RNA", at positions 338 to 795 of the family's 1533-position model. The record is from RNAcentral.